UGCUUUGCUGUAUUCGUUUUCUCUAGACA
Molecule: non-coding RNA, 29 nt
Filed under: Mus musculus (house mouse)
Lineage: Eukaryota; Metazoa; Chordata; Mammalia; Rodentia; Muridae
Also listed under: 1 other name
Source: RNAcentral